This 254-nucleotide ribosomal RNA is filed under the name uncultured bacterium. RNAcentral describes it as "partial 16S ribosomal RNA". It matches the Rfam family "Bacterial small subunit ribosomal RNA", at positions 335 to 606 of the family's 1533-position model. The record is from RNAcentral.
UACCCUACGGACGCAGCAGUCGGGAAUAUUGCGCAAUGGAGGAAACUCUGACGCAGUGACGCCGCGUAUAGGAAGAAGGUUUUCGGAUUGUAAACUACUGUCGUUAGGGAAGAAAAAGGACAGUACCUAAGGAGGAAGCUCCGGCUAACUACGUGCCAGCAGCCGCGGUAAUACGUAGGGAGCGAGCGUUAUCCGGAUUUAUUGGGUGUAAAGGGUGCGUAGACGGGCUAACAAGUUGGUUGUGAAAUCCCUCG